This 29-nucleotide small RNA is filed under the name Bombyx mori (domestic silkworm). RNAcentral describes it as "ovarian small RNA-38472". Lineage: Eukaryota; Metazoa; Arthropoda; Insecta; Lepidoptera; Bombycidae. The record is from RNAcentral.
UUUUGCAUGUCUGCCACUGUGUGGAGGUU